Molecule: ribosomal RNA, 257 nt
Filed under: uncultured prokaryote
Description: partial 16S ribosomal RNA
Rfam family: Bacterial small subunit ribosomal RNA
Source: RNAcentral
UACGGAGGAUCAGAGCGUUAUCCGGAUUUAUUGGGUUUAAAGGGUGCGUAGGCGGCUUUUUAAGUCAGCGGUGAAAUUUUGCAGCUUAACUGUAACAGUGCCGUUGAUACUGGGGAGCUAGGAUUUGGUUGCUGUGGGUGGAAUGUGUGGUGUAGCGGUGAAAUGCUUAGAGAUCACACAGAAUAUCGAUUGCGAAGGCAGCUCGCAAAGCCAAGAUUGACGCUGAGGCACGAAAGUGUGGGGAUCAAACAGGAUUA